UAGGGAAUCUUCGGCAAUGGGGGCAACCCUGACCGAGCAACGCCGCGUGAGUGAAGAAGGUUUUCGGAUCGUAAAGCUCUGUUGUAAGAGCAGAACGUGUGUGAGAGUGGAAAGUUCACACAGUGACGGUAACUUACCAGAAAGGGACGGCUAACUACGUGCCAGCAGCCGCGGUAAUACGUAGGUCCCGAGCGUUGUCCGGAUUUAUUGGGCGUAAAGCGAGCGCAGGCGGUUUAAUAAGUCUGAAGUUAAAGGCAGUGGCUUAACCAUUGUUCGCUUUGGAAACUGUUGAACUUGAGUGCAGAAGGGGAGAGUGGAAUUCCAUGUGUAGCAGUGAAAUGCGUAGAUAUAUGGAGGAACACAGGUGGCGAAAGCGGCUCUCUGGUCUGUAACUGACGCUGAGGCUCGAAAGCGUGGGGAGCAAACAGG
This 429-nucleotide ribosomal RNA is filed under the name bacterium. RNAcentral's name for it is "partial 16S ribosomal RNA". It matches the Rfam family "Bacterial small subunit ribosomal RNA", at positions 355 to 776 of the family's 1533-position model. The record is from RNAcentral.